UUUCACUCCCACAUGAGAUUAAGACCUCGACUUCUUGAUGUUUCAGCCAUAAUGUGAUGCCUAUCUAUCUCCUUGAUGUUUCAGCCUCGAUAUGAUGCUUCUCUUCGGAAGUAAAAUUCUCUGCAAAGAGAACUAAACCAAUCCCGGUGAGCUCAUGCUAAAACCAGAUGUUCCAACUGCCAAGGUGGCAGUGAGCAUGUACACAAGGAAGGCUUGCAGACAGCUACAAUCGAAGCCAUUCUUUUUCUCUCUUUUUAUUUUGGAGCAUGUCAUUAGUAGAGAUGUAGUUACGAACUGAGAGGAAAGUCUCUUGUCUCGCAUACAAUAGCUUACUUCUGACCUGUUUUACACCUUAUGGAUUCUUUUGGUUGAAUAGUGAAUAGGGCAAGUGAUGUACAACAUAUGGCAGAGAUGUUCGAAGAGCAACUCGAAUAGUGCACAGUGCAUACUUAUGAGGUUACCGUUCGAUUGCCAUUGCUUAUUACUUUAGAUAUUAUCUUGAUAUCCAUGAUCAGGCUGAUAGAGAGCCGAUCAUAAACUAUAAUUACUUGUUAAGAUUAUAUAGUUACAGAACCUAUAAUAUACCUUGGGCUUAGUUGCUGAAAAGCUUAUUUUAUUUCUAAUUUCACAAAGCAAACGUGCCAUCAUCAGCACAGGUUACAAAGAGUGCACCUCAAUGUAUUACAAUACAGCUAAACAGAUGCAGAUAACAGAAAACAGAUAGAGUAGUUAGGUUAGACCAGACCAACGGAUGAAAAUGACCCAAGAAAAGCCAAGCUGAAGCAUAAAGCACCAAGCCUUAAUUAGCAUCAGACAUUAGUUGCGUGAAUUUGUCAUGUUGUUCUUGGCCAUGCUGAAGACUUUGCACUCUCCUUCAAGUAGUGCAGGGCCCUCUCCAUGUCAUCUGUUGGAAUGCUGAGUCUUCCAUCACCACGAACCGGAAGUGUAGAAGUCCAUGUUGAAUGGCUUGACUUACCGUGGUAGCCACCGUGUGAUGUCAGAUUGAUUGGCCCCAUGACACUAUCAUGUUUGCGGUUGUGGUGGUAGUCGUCAUAGUUAUCAUUCCGAAUGGUGUUUCCAUUAGGCUUGUACAAUGUGUUGUUGCUGUAGUCACUAUAGCCACCAUAGCCCGUAGUUCCAUUGUAUCCAAUUUGAUUGGGUUGUUGGCCCCAGGUAAUGCCAUUGAAGGGUCCAACCCUAGGAUCACGGCUAGCAUCAGUGUGGAUUCUGGUGUGGAAGCCAUCAAUGGCGUGUCGUGGUGGGCUUGGAGGCCUACGCCAAUUGUCAUCAGCAGCAUAGCCG
This 1302-nucleotide long non-coding RNA is filed under the name Prunus persica (peach). Its description in RNAcentral is "long non-coding RNA (PPER_LNC006721)". Lineage: Eukaryota; Viridiplantae; Streptophyta; Magnoliopsida; Rosales; Rosaceae. The record is from RNAcentral.